This 1951-nucleotide unclassified non-coding RNA is filed under the name Leishmania donovani. RNAcentral's name for it is "gene:LdHU3.33.2180(CDS-product:hypothetical_prote in_conserved)". Lineage: Eukaryota; Euglenozoa; Kinetoplastea; Trypanosomatida; Trypanosomatidae. The record is from RNAcentral.
CUCUACGUCUCACUCACCUGCACAAGUCGCGAAGGUGCCUGUCCUACACAAGCACACAACGUGCCGCACGUGCUUCGUGUGGGUGCGGAUUCAGAGCGCAGCCGCUGCGUGGGAAGCCAUGGCUGACGCAGCGGCGCGGGAGCGCAUACUACGUAUGCAGCUGUCUGCGGCGCCGCUGCAAGACGUCUACGGUGCCUUUUCCCCGUGGCAGCACCUCUCCACCUCUGUUCCUGAGCUUGACUCUCUCCUCAGCGUGGCGGGUGUAUGUGGAGGUGUCUCUGGCAGCGACGCUGGGAGCGGCACCGAGUCGGCCAUUGGUGGCCUCCCUGUUGGUGGUCUUCACGAGCUCUACGGACCGCCCCUGUCCGGCAAGUCGUGGCUACUUCGUCGUGUUGGCGCGGCCUACGUGCGGCGCAUGACGAUGUGCCGGCAGUGGUACCAUGACGAGCUGGAGCUGGCGUCGAAGUGGGCAGUGGAGACGCCGAGAUCCACGCACACGUAUGAUGAUGAGGCACAUGCAAAGAAGGAUGAUGAAGGCCUGUGCAGUGAGGGGGAGGUCGCCGACACUUGGGCAGACUCAACCGGUGCCUCGCCUGUGACUGCGAUGGAGGAAUGGGAUCUUUAUGUGUGUCUGGUGAGCGGGGCCGGUGCUAGCAGCACGACGCACCAGCUCACAGCAGCGCCGCCGUCACCCUCGCUGCUGUCACCCGAUGUGCGGAGUUGGGUGGAGGAGCUUGUUGCCCCCUUUGACUCCUCUUCAACCCUAGAUAGGCAAGGAGAAGCCUUUGUUACCGGGCCUGCGCACUACCAUGCAUCGGAGCACCGACGGCAGCAGCAGAGAGACUACGCCGAGCAGCACAUCCACUUCUGUGUUGUGCGUUCCCCCAAUGAGCUUCUCGCCUUCCUUGAGCACCUCAGCGGCGAUGCGGCAUUGGCGCCAUCCGCGGGCACGACCUUCGCAGAUGCAGCCCCCUCUAUCGUUCCUCCUGCACCUCUUGUAGCGUCGCAGCAGCAACUCUCAUCAUUACAGUUGUCCUGUGGUUCUUCGGCCACGACAGCGCGAGGGCAGAAGCGGCGUCGCUCUCCACGCACCGCGGUGUCUUCCUCCUCAUCGGUUUCUCCUUUCCGUGGAAACUUUCCACAGCGCACCUGGCGGCUGCAGCGGCAGCGACUGCUCCUGCUCGACGGCCUCGAUGCGCUGUGGCUGCACCCCAGCCUGGGCAACCACUGCGCCACCCACACAGGGCAGUGGUUUGCCGAAGAACUGCAUCGGCGAUUGCGGGCAGUGGUGUUGCCGCGGCUUAGCUACGCUGCCUCAAAUAGCGCCGUUCUGACGCCGUCAUAUGCUACCGCUGCUGCUUCUCCGACGUCUUCGCACCCUUAUCACACGCUCUACUCCACUGUGGUUUUCACAAAUGGCUGCAAUGGCAGCAGUCGCGGUAUUCUGAAUCCGCAGCAACUGGAGGCUCGCCUGGCUGGGCCAGUAGGAGGAGCGAAGGGCUGGAUGGCAACGCUGCCACGGCCCUCGGGAAAUGCGGUGUGGUGCAGGGCAGCGGACACGCGAUGCUUGGUCGAGCCGGCGCACCCGGGGCUGGUGUCGUUGCCAACACCCAGCUCCUCCUAUGUGUGUCCAGCGAGGGUUUCGCACGGGCCAGGCGCCAUGCGUCAAAGCAGCCGUGGCAUGGCCAAGACCUUUGGCCCGUCUAACACCAACUCUCUAGAGUCUCUCGUGACGGUGGUGAAGGGAGGCUCGCGCGUGGCGGCAACGUGGUUACUACGUGACGUCGCGGGCGGCGCGCAAGAAAGUUGAGGUGCGAAUCUCGUGCGCACUCUAAGCGCGCACGCCUUAUCGUACUCUCCCCUGCGCGUACCCUGGGGCGUCGCAUCUCGUAGCGUUGAGCCAUCCGUGAGUAAUGUCUUGGCCACUUCGUCUCCCCUUCUUCUCCCCCAG